GGAAAAGGUUGCCAGAAAAAUAUGUUAAAGGGUGCCUCAAAGGCACUCACAUACACAUUUUAAAACUUGUGUCAAAGCGCUGACACUUCUGCGACAGCCAGGCUUGUGCUGUGACACAGUUUUGCCACUUCUGCAGCUGAAGGUCCCCACAGGUAUUUUGAAUUCCUCAGAAGGAGGGGUCUUUGUAGUCCUGUUUCAAUGGAGGCAUGCUGCCAGGAUUUGGGAUCUGCGUGUGAGCUACUGUGAUUUCCCUUUGGGCCCUCUCAUCUCUGCCAAACCUGAAGUGGACUUUCUUGAAAUCCCUUCCCUGCUCUCAGAGUGCUCAGUGGUCUUUAGCUCAGGGGCUGUGGAUCUCUGCAUUGGCAGAUGGCUUCAAGGGGACAUGCCACAAAGAAAAGUAAAUGUACUGAUGCCUACUGUCAUGUGGUCUACAGGAGGCUGAAGCUGUA
Molecule: long non-coding RNA, 449 nt
Filed under: Taeniopygia guttata (zebra finch)
Lineage: Eukaryota; Metazoa; Chordata; Aves; Passeriformes; Estrildidae
Description: lncRNA (ENSTGUG00000025470.1)
Source: RNAcentral